GGGGCUGUAGCUCAGUUUGGGAGAGCGCUGGAAUCGCACUCCAGAGGUCGAGGGUUCGACUCCCUUCAGCUCCA
RNAcentral lists this transfer RNA (74 nucleotides) under bacterium. RNAcentral's name for it is "tRNA-Ala". It matches the Rfam family "tRNA". From Rfam's summary of the family: Transfer RNA (tRNA) molecules are approximately 80 nucleotides in length. The record is from RNAcentral.